GCGUGAGUGAUGAAGGCCUUAGGGUUGUAAAGCUCUUUUACCCGGGAUGAUAAUGACAGUACCGGGAGAAUAAGCCCCGGCUAACUCCGUGCCAGCAGCCGCGGUAAUACGGAGGGGGCUAGCGUUGUUCGGAAUUACUGGGCGUAAAGCGCACGUAGGCGGUUACUCAAGUCAGAGGUGAAAGCCCGGAGCUCAACUCCGGAACUGCCUUUGAAACUAGGUGACUUGAAUCAUGGAGAGGCGGGUGGAAUUCCGAGUGUAGAGGUGAAAUUCGU
RNAcentral lists this ribosomal RNA (275 nucleotides) under uncultured bacterium. RNAcentral describes it as "partial 16S ribosomal RNA". It matches the Rfam family "Bacterial small subunit ribosomal RNA", at positions 399 to 691 of the family's 1533-position model. The record is from RNAcentral.